GAUGAACGCUAGCGGCAGGCCUAAUACAUGCAAGUCGAACGGUAAAUGUCCCUUCGGGGGCAUGAGAGUGGCGCACGGGUGCGUAACGCGUAUGCAACCUACCCAAUGCUGGAGGAUAGCCCGGAGAAAUUCGGAUUAACCCUUCAUGAGGAGCUUUGGAGGCAUCUUCGAGGUUUCAAAUAUUCAUAGGCGUUGGAUGGGCAUGCGUGCUAUUAGAUAGUUGGCGGGGUAACGGCCCACCAAGUCGACGAUAGCUAGGGGAUCUGAGAGGACGGUCCCCCACACUGGUACUGAGACACGGUCCAGACUCCUACGGGAGCAGCAGUGAGGAAUAUUGGUCAAUGGGCGGGAGCCUGAAACCCAGCCAAGUAGCGUGAAGGAUGGACUGCCCUACGGGUUGUAAACUUCUUUUGUUGGGAAUAAAGACGCUACGUGUAGCGUUCUGCAUGUACCUUACGAAUAAGCAUCGGCUAAUUCCGUG
Molecule: ribosomal RNA, 481 nt
Filed under: uncultured bacterium
Lineage: Bacteria
Description: bacterial SSU rRNA
Rfam family: Bacterial small subunit ribosomal RNA
Source: RNAcentral